This 309-nucleotide unclassified non-coding RNA is filed under the name plant metagenome. Its description in RNAcentral is "partial contains 5.8S ribosomal RNA, internal transcribed spacer 2, and large subunit ribosomal RNA". The stretch from base 1 to 105 matches the Rfam family "5.8S ribosomal RNA", at positions 50 to 154 of the family's 154-position model. The record is from RNAcentral.
GAAAUGCGAUAAGUAAUGUGAAUUGCAGAAUUCAGUGAAUCAUCGAAUCUUUGAACGCACAUUGUGCCCGCCAGUAUUCUGGCGGGCAUGCCUGUUCGAGCGUCAUUUCAACCAUCAAGCCCCCGGGCUUGUGUUGGGGACCUGCGGCUGCCGCAGGCCCCGAAAACCAGUGGCGGGCUCGCUGUCACACCGGGCGUAGUAGAUUUUUCGUCUCGCCCAGGGCGUGCUGCGGGUUCCGGCCGUUAAAAAGCCUCUCUUUUAACCCAAGGUUGACCUCGGAUCAGGUAGGAAGACCCGCUGAACUUAAGC